RNAcentral lists this ribosomal RNA (207 nucleotides) under uncultured bacterium. RNAcentral describes it as "partial 16S ribosomal RNA". It matches the Rfam family "Bacterial small subunit ribosomal RNA", at positions 568 to 774 of the family's 1533-position model. The record is from RNAcentral.
AGCGUAGACGGGUGGACAAGUCUGAUGUGAAAGGCUGGGGCUCAACCCCGGGACUGCAUUGGAAACUGCCCGUCUUGAGUGCCGGAGAGGUAAGCGGAAUUCCUAGUGUAGCGGUGAAAUGCGUAGAUAUUAGGAGGAACACCAGUUGCGAAGGCGGCUCUCUGGACUGUAACUGACACUGAGGCACGAAAGCGUGGGGAGCAAACA